This 239-nucleotide ribosomal RNA is filed under the name uncultured Lactobacillus sp. RNAcentral describes it as "partial 16S ribosomal RNA". It matches the Rfam family "Bacterial small subunit ribosomal RNA", at positions 125 to 355 of the family's 1533-position model. Lineage: Bacteria; Bacillati; Bacillota; Bacilli; Lactobacillales; Lactobacillaceae. The record is from RNAcentral.
CCGUAGCCCAAGAGAUCGGGAUAACACCUGGAAACAGAUGCUAAUACCGGAUAACAACAGAUGAUGCCUAUCAACUGUUUAAAAGAUGGUUCUGCUAUCACUCUUGGAUGGACCUGCGGUGCAUUAGCUAGUUGGUAGGGUAACGGCCUACCAAGGCGAUGAUGCAUAGCCGAGUUGAGAGACUGAUCGGCCACAUUGGGACUGAGGCACGGCCCAAACUCCUACGGGAGGCAGCAGCU